GUGCUCACUACAGCAGCACAUAUAUUAAAAAUUGUAGCACUACAGAGAAGAUUAGUGGGGCCCUGCACAAGGACGACACGCAGGCGGGGUGCAGUGGCUCAGGCCUGU
Chlorocebus sabaeus (green monkey) is the source of this 108-nucleotide small nuclear RNA. The record is from Ensembl. Lineage: Eukaryota; Metazoa; Chordata; Mammalia; Primates; Cercopithecidae.